Molecule: long non-coding RNA, 2057 nt
Organism: Danio rerio (zebrafish)
Lineage: Eukaryota; Metazoa; Chordata; Actinopteri; Cypriniformes; Danionidae
Source: Ensembl
UUUUGAGGUAGCCUAGUAGACUACUCACGUCAUUGGCCGUAAACAGGUGGUCCAUAUUAAUUUGCUGAUUACACUAGCAGAUUUCCCAUACGAGCUCGGAUGCGCUUGUGAGGAGAAGCGUUAAACUGGCGAUGUCUUGCCAACUAAAAACAUUAACUUCAAUCCUUAUAUUAUCAGCAAUCUCACUUAAUCUCAAUAGUCUUCAUUCUAGCGCUACGGCAAAGCGGGAAGCCGCUGAUUAUUCAGAAGAAAGCAGUUUCAAUAGAGUGUCUAACAAUUUCACCGACAAAACUUCACAACAGCUCCACAUCAGCGCGUUUCAACUCAACGCAGCAAAUUCGGAUUUGAAUCGACUUAGUGGCUCGAUAAAACUUGACGACUCAAAUGAUCCUUCAGACAGAGCUAGCAAUGAAACACAGUCGAGUAAACACACGUAUGACUUGCCAUACAACGACAGUGCAUCUUUAUUCACUAUCAAUGAAAACAUACGAAGUAGUUUCCAGAAACGAGCAUCUGUUAUCGAGGACGGAUUUCAAGGCGAUGCUCCAGCUUUUGGAGGACGAGAAACGGCUGGGAAAAUUUAUGUUUCCAAAAGCUUGUCCAGCUUCCAAAUCAGAGACAUGCGGCUGGCUUUACCCAUGGUACGCUGCUCAGAAGAGGUGAUGACCAUAACAAUGGCUGGAAGAGAAUACACACGGAUAUCUGUGGACAGAGUGGAUGCAGACCCACUGCCCUUAUUUCAGGUGCCUGCAUAUUGUGGCUUUUCUGUCAGGGUCACGUGGAAAGAUUUGGUCCUAAUGGCUCCUUAUGAUGGGUGCUUCAUCACAAAAGAGAAUGACAAUUAUGUACUUUCACUCUUGUGGUGGGACAGUCCCAUAAAAAUAACCUGUCCAAUGGCACCUGUGACCUCAAAUCCAACUCCCUCUGUCUUCUGCUCUGAAUUCGGCAUGGCCAUUGCAAUAAAAGGUGCUCAGCAAGCUGCAGAGAAACACAGAGUUAAAGUGAAGGGGAAGAUACUGCCUCUCCUAUCUGAGACAUGUGCAUAUCGUUUGCCGUCUCCCCCUGAGGUAGUUCUGCUUUACAUCCAAUUCAACACAGGAUGUGUGACUGUGAUGGGCAAUGAGAUCAAUCUUGUCAUCAUCGUGGAUGGAAAGCAGUUCACCCUUUCAUGUCCCUUUCCUCACUACUGGUCUCGAUUUGGUCCCUACCUUCAUUCUCCAUACUAUCAACCACUGCAGCCCAGUCAGAUACCCAGUACUUAUGAGUACCAGAAACCGCCUGGUCUCUUUCAUCUCAUGUUUCCCCAUCAUCAUCAUCAUCAUCAUCACCGUCAUCGUCAUUAUCCUGCACCUCCUGUGGAUGCUCUUCCCAAAUUUUCAAUAAAGCCAUAUCUGCCUCCACCUGUUGAGCAAAUGCCACAAAUGUUUCAGUACCCAGUUUUGCCUCCUCUGUAUCUUGAGCCGUCCAUUGAUUUGCAACCAACUACCCCUCCAGUGACUUCAUUUCUUCCUCCUACAUACAAUCCACCGACCCGUUCCGUCAUGCAAGAGAAGGUUUUCCCUCAAAUGCCCAUCUUUCCCCCAGCUCCCCCUGCAAAACCUUCCAAAACAUCUCCGUCACUUCAUUGCACAAGAGACAGAUUAAUUGUAACUUUGGCCUCAGCAACAAUAGACUCCAUUAAGGUCAAAGAUGUGGAGACAAAAGAAUGGAUCUCGAUUUCAUCGGUGUCCGCUGCCUGUAACUACAACCUUCGCUCUGUAGGGGAUAAUGUUGUGCUCUCUUCACCACUCCCUUCCUGCCACACAACACAAAAGGUGAGUCCUCAGUGCUGAGAUUUUACACAUUCACUACAUUCAAAUCAGAAGGGCUCUUUCAUAUGCCCUAAUCCCUUUAAAGGAACCCUUCUUUGCUCAAAGCAUCAUGGCUCAAAAUAGCCAUUGUAUCCUUUAAAACCCUUUACCCCAAAGGUCAGCUUUGAGCAUGUAUGUUUAUAAUGACACUUCAUUAUGGCGGCAUUGAUAAUUUUCACUCCAAAAGUGCCCUUUGGAGGGCUAUGU